RNAcentral lists this ribosomal RNA (225 nucleotides) under Polistes sp. 1 MDS-2020. Its description in RNAcentral is "partial small subunit ribosomal RNA". Lineage: Eukaryota; Metazoa; Arthropoda; Insecta; Hymenoptera; Vespidae. The record is from RNAcentral.
UUAAGUCAUUAAAUUUAUAAGAUUUGGCGGUAUUUUAAAAAGUUAGAGGAAUCUGUAGUAUAAUUGAUGGUCCACGAUAAGAAUAACUUAAAAAUUUAUGUAUUGCUGUUUUAAAAAUUUUAUUAAGUAAAAUUUUUUAAUUAAAAUUUAAUUUAAUUCAAGUCAAAAUAUAGUUUAUUUGAGUUAUGGAUUACAAUUUGAAUUUGAAAUUGGAUUUAAUAGUAA